RNAcentral lists this ribosomal RNA (251 nucleotides) under uncultured bacterium. RNAcentral describes it as "partial 16S ribosomal RNA". It matches the Rfam family "Bacterial small subunit ribosomal RNA", at positions 524 to 776 of the family's 1533-position model. The record is from RNAcentral.
UACGGGUAGCGCAAGUGUUAUUCCUCUUGAUUGGGCGUAAAGGGUGUGUAGGUGGUAUAAUAAGUUAAACAUGAAAAACUAUGUUGAUCAAUUGAUAAUUUUUAAAACUAUUAUGCUUGAGUAAUAAUAAAAAUAGCGGAACUUCCUGCAUCAGAUUUGAAAUGCGUUUAUACGGGGGGGAACCCCAAAGGCGAAAGCAGCUAUUUAAUUAUUUCUGACACUGAGACACAAAGGCAUGGGUAUCAAAUAGG